ACGCUCGUGAUGAGACCUCAGGUCAGGCGGGGCUACCCGCUGAAUUUAAGCAUAUCAAUAAGCGGAGGAAAAGAAACUAACAAGGAUUCC
RNAcentral lists this ribosomal RNA (90 nucleotides) under Galega officinalis. RNAcentral describes it as "partial 28S ribosomal RNA". The stretch from base 13 to 90 matches the Rfam family "Eukaryotic large subunit ribosomal RNA", at positions 1 to 78 of the family's 3401-position model. The record is from RNAcentral. Lineage: Eukaryota; Viridiplantae; Streptophyta; Magnoliopsida; Fabales; Fabaceae.